CUGCGAAAGUUCAUAGAUUGCUUAUAAACCUAUUUCUUUAACUAAAAGGAUGUAUUUUAACUUUAUUUUACUGAGCCAAAGUCCAUUCGUUGACGGUGUUGAAAUUAUUCUACAGCUUGGUCAUUGACAAAUUUCAUUUUCUCUGAUAAUUCAUUUAAUAAUUUGUAUCAAAAAAAAAUAGAUUCUUGAGAAAGAUUAACAUAAAAGAUAAAAUUACCCUACAUUUCUGUACUCAAAUCGAUAUGUUCUAACUUUGAAAGGGUUUCACAAUAUAUGAAUAACCGUAUAUUGGUACAAUUUAAUCCUAUUAUAGGUAAAAAACCUCACAUAGAGACAAUAAAUAAUUAUUAUUUUUUGUUAUAUUGUCGAGAAUAGAAGCAUGUAAUGAAUGCAAUAUCUCGUUAUUUCCAAAGAGUCAACUGCUAAGUGAGUUCCAACAGAAUUAACAGGCAGAAGCAAGAUACUGAUGUCUUCAACGAUCACAAGAUAAAAGGAAGGUGUAUUUUUUACAAAAAAUUUCGCUGUCAGCUUGCUCCACAAAAUGCAAUUUGCACUCUUCAUUUUUCACAACUCUUCAAUGUCAAAAAGUAGUAACAGCCUAAAAAUACGAGCUAGUGUUUUUAUUAUUCAAGGUAGAUCAAAAAGAGUAUAAUUUCCGGCUAUCUUGAAAAUGAUUCACGCUAGCUAAAAGUAUGCGAUGAUGACUAAUUAAUGAUGACCUGCAUCAUUUCGAUUCUACACACUUUAAACAUCAUUUUCUAAUGCUUCUAGCGUCGUCAAGUUAGGACCUGGCCUAAUAAAAACAUCUGAAAAAUCUUCGUUGCUUGUAAGCUCUAAAUUAUGUUCAUUCGCCAAAUGUAAAACACAAAUAAAGGCAAAACUGGUGGAUAUAUCUUUGAGUUCUUUUUUCUCGUAUGUCUCCUCUAAUUGAUUGACAGUGGAAAAAAAAGAUUUGACUGGCAUGUUGGUUUCUUCUGACUCCAUCUCCGAACCCUCAAUAUGAGAGUUGAUGGAAUUUUCUUUAAUUGUGUUUUCAAGAUCUAGACAUUUCCAUAGCUUUUCUUUCAGUACUCGCACAUCAACCUUUUUAGCACGCUUCGCAUAAUUCAGCAUAUCUGGUUUUGCCAAACGAGCAGUUAACAAAAGGUUAUCACCAAAUCCUGAUGAUGAUGGAGGUGUAAGCAGAGGUGUUUGCUUAGGGCUAUCGGAAUCUCCAAAUCCAUACGGGGGUAUUCCUUCAUCAACAUUAUCACUGCCAUCAGAAUCGAAUCCAUGGGGUUGAAUACCGUCCAAAUCAUUCUCAUCAUCUAAGGCUUUAUUCAGUUGUAGCUGUCCUUCUCCAUCAGCGUUGGGUAGAACUGACAUCUUUGGUUUCAAGAAAAGCUGUAAAAGCCUCUUAGAAUCAUAUUGGUAGUCAUCAGGUAGUAAACAUCGAUUAUGUCUUUUCCAAUGAGACUUGGGAAGCUUGAGACUGCUGGUUGCAGGAGUGAACAGUGCUUCGACGUCUACUUCCUGCAAGAAAUCAAUGGCGUUAUCAAGUUCUCGACGCUUUUUCCGUUCCGUGGAAGAAAGAGAACGCGAUACAUUAUCUGAACUUUCAGCCGUAUUGGAAGAGUUGAAUACAGUUGAUGCGUUAUUGAUAUUUUUUCUCAAUGCCUGAAUGCGCCAAUGUUCGGGUCCAGCCCAGUUCUUUUUCAUUGACUUGUCAAAAUAUUCGUAUACUCCAUUCGCAGCGGCAGUAGAAAUAAUAGAAUAAUUUUCAUUCAUAGUACUUCCAUCAGCCAUAUUGACUUCAGUAUCCACACCAAAAUCUGGAUUUUCGGAUUCGUCCAUUGCUUUUGGUACUACAUCAACAUAUGGGUUCUCCUCAUCGUAAGCCAUUUCCUCCAAAGCAUGCACAAUAUGUCCUUCUUCACCAUCGGAAUCGGAAGAAAGGGAAGCUGCAUCAGCAUCAGUUUUCUCCAUCGUAUUAUCCACUAAGGAGGUUGUCGUUAUCAUGUUAACUUCAUCACUUAAUGAUUUUAAGAGAGAGACAUCAAGAUUCCCUUUACUAUCAAAUUCAAAGCCCUGUAAGGAGGGACAUAUUGUCAACUGAUCAAUAUCGGUAAAAUAGCAUUUGUAAAUACCAUUCAAGGUCUCCCUAGAAAUAUUGUCAUGCACAUUAGUCAUUUCUGUGUCAUGGCUUUCGAUAGGCGCUGCGACUACCGCUUCCUGCGAUUCAGCUUCAACAUCUUUAUUUUCCAAAUCCUUGAUGACAGUAUCGCUAGAAUCGAAUACAAUUCGUCCAUGUUGAUCAACACAAAGAUGAUUCAUUAAUAAGCCUUUAGCACCAUCCUCAUCAAAAUCUGCACACAUUUUCUUGAAUAAAGGAUCAAAAGAACAUUCUAACUCAAAUUUUUUAGCGCGUAUUGACUCGAAAUCUUUAACGAGAGUCUUUACCGAACGUUGUGCACGCUUUCUCUCUUUCUUUUUCUGUAGAUCCUCAUCAUCAUUUUCAGCAUCUUCGCCUUCUUCCGUUUGCUGCAAUACUUUGGAAUCGUUUGCCAAUCCACUGAGUAGCUUGCCGGUCUCAGUAGCAACAGAAUCAAUACGCGAAGUAUAAAUUUUCACGCAUCCGUCUAAUGUACAGCUUGCCUUUUGGAAAUUUAUAUCUUCACCAUCACGUAGAAGCGACAUGUCGUGAAAAUAGUCAAUAAGCGCAAAAUUCCAGGUAUUUGUGGAAUUAAUUUUGUUGUCAGUAGCUAAUUUAAUCCAUUCCUCAAAAUUAGAAAGAACAGGAACCUGAUGAGAGCUAUUAAAUGGUGAAGAAUUGUUUAGAGAUUCUCUUCUUGGCGUUAUUGAGUGCAGAGCUGAACUUCUUCGCAACUCGCGCUGCUUACGGCUGUUCUCUUUAGCUCUUUUUUUUUCUAAUGCAUCGUCAUUUAAGGAGGGUAAGCUAACGGGCGCAUGCCCGCCUAAACUAGCUCUUUUCAUUGAUUUAAGUAAAUGUUUAUGUUCACAAGUGGUAAGUCGGUGUGCCUAUACGUAUAUCGCGCUUUAACGAUAUGCC
RNAcentral lists this long non-coding RNA (3049 nucleotides) under Schizosaccharomyces pombe (fission yeast). Lineage: Eukaryota; Fungi; Ascomycota; Schizosaccharomycetes; Schizosaccharomycetales; Schizosaccharomycetaceae. The record is from RNAcentral.